UCUAAUAUGGCAGAAUUAGUGCAAUAAACUUAAGAUUUAUAUAUAAGAUAUAAAUCUUUAUUAGAA
This 66-nucleotide transfer RNA is filed under the name Cosmoscarta mandarina. RNAcentral describes it as "tRNA-Leu". Lineage: Eukaryota; Metazoa; Arthropoda; Insecta; Hemiptera; Cercopidae. The record is from RNAcentral.